This 78-nucleotide transfer RNA is filed under the name Candidatus Coprenecus merdipullorum. RNAcentral's name for it is "tRNA-Val". It matches the Rfam family "tRNA". From Rfam's summary of the family: Transfer RNA (tRNA) molecules are approximately 80 nucleotides in length. Their secondary structure includes four short double-helical elements and three loops (D, anti-codon, and T loops). Further hydrogen bonds mediate the characteristic L-shaped molecular structure. tRNAs have two regions of fundamental functional importance: the anti-codon, which is responsible for specific mRNA codon recognition, and the 3' end, to which the tRNAs corresponding amino acid is attached (by aminoacyl-tRNA synthetases). tRNAs cope with the degeneracy of the genetic code in two manners: having more than one tRNA (with a specific anti-codon) for a particular amino acid; and 'wobble' base-pairing, i.e. permitting non-standard base-pairing at the 3rd anti-codon position. The record is from RNAcentral. Lineage: Bacteria; Pseudomonadati; Bacteroidota; Bacteroidia; Bacteroidales; Rikenellaceae.
GGGAGCAUAGCUCAGUUGGUUUAGAGCGUCUGCCUUACAAGCAGAGGGUCGGGGGUUCGACUCCCUCUGCUCCCACCA